This 916-nucleotide long non-coding RNA is filed under the name Lactuca sativa (garden lettuce). RNAcentral describes it as "long non-coding RNA (LSAT_LNC003737)". Lineage: Eukaryota; Viridiplantae; Streptophyta; Magnoliopsida; Asterales; Asteraceae. The record is from RNAcentral.
UUUCAAAACAAUACUAGAGUUUUAGAAUUUAACAUUCCUAAUUAAACUUUUAAUCAACUUUUAAAUUCCAAAACUUGAGGGCAAGUUUUGAAACAUUUCAAAACAUUUAGGUUUAGAAUUUAAAUAUACAUCAAAAUUAAACUUUUAAUCAAAAUUUAAAUUCCAAAACUUGAGGGCAAGUUUUGAAACCUUUUCAAAACAUUAGGGUUUCAACUAUUUAAAUUUCAAAACUAAACUUUUGAGUUCAAAUUUAAACUAUAAAACCUAAAGGGGAAAAUUGAAACUUUUCAUAACACAAGGAUCAAAUAACAAAUAAUCCAAUCUUUAUCAUAUAAGGAAGUUAUUAUCUAAUCAAUUGGUAAUUAUCUUGUGUUUUGACAAGGAUAUUCAUUAAGAAACAAUAAAAUUCGUAUUUUAUAGGUUUAAAACGAAUAUGGUAAUAAUCCCUAAGAAAAACAACAACAAAAUCCGAAGUUUCCUCUGUCUGACACUCCGACUCGCCGAGACACACUUUGGAACUCGCCGAAUAGGGCUGACUCGCCGAGUCCAGGUAGUGACUCGCNAAACCAAAACUUUUAUGGAUUUAUUAAGCCUCUUUUAAUUAUACACCUUAAUUAAUAAAUAAAACCAUAAGUGUGUGAUAUGAACUUUUCAAGACACUACUAGGGUUUUAGAAUUUAACAUUCCUAGAUUAAACUUUUAAUCAACUUUUAAAUCCCAAAACUUGAGGGCAAGUUUUGAAACAUUUCAAAAACAUUUAGGUUUAGAAUUUAAAUAUACAUCAAAAUUAAACUUUUAAUCAAAAUUUAAAUUCCAAAACUUGAGGGCAAGUUUUGAAACCUUUUUCAAAACAUUAGGGUUUCAACUAUUUAAAUUUCAAAACUAAACUUUUUAGUUUAAAUUUAAACUAUAAAAC